GAUGAACGCUGACAGAAUGCUUAACACAUGCAAGUCAACUUGAACUUCGGUUUGGGUGGCGGACGGGUGAGUAACGCGUAAAGAACUUGCCUCACAGCUAGGGACAACAUUUGGAAACGAAUGCUAAUACCUGAUAUUAUGAUUAUAUGGCAUCGUAUAAUUAUGAAAGCUAUCUGCGCUGUGAGAGAGCUUUGCGUCCCAUUAGCUAGUUGGAGAGGUAACAGCUCACCAAGGCGAUGAUGGGUAGCCGGCCUGAGAGGGUGAUCGGCCACAAGGGGACUGAGACACGGCCCUUACUCCUACGGGAGGCAGCAGUGGGGAAUAUUGGACAAUGGACCGAGAGUCUGAUCCAGCAAUUCUGUGUGCACGAUGAAGUUUUUCGGAAUGUAAAGUGCUUUCAGUUGGGAAGAAAAAAAUGACGGUACCAACAGAAGAAGUGACGGCUAAAUACGUG
Molecule: ribosomal RNA, 454 nt
Filed under: uncultured bacterium
Lineage: Bacteria
Description: partial 16S ribosomal RNA
Rfam family: Bacterial small subunit ribosomal RNA
Source: RNAcentral